CGAUAUCGACGAGUUAUCCUGGCUCAGAACGAACGCUGGCGGCAUGCCUAACACAUGCAAGUCGAACGAAGCCUUCGGGCUUAGUGGCGCACGGGUGCGUAACGCGUGGGAACCUACCAUCAGGUUCGGAAUAACAGUUAGAAAUGACUGCUAAUACCGGAUAAUGUCUUCGGACCAAAGAUUUAUCGCCUUUUGAUGGGCCCGCGUUGGAUUAGCUAGUUGGUGGGGUAAAGGCCUACCACGGCGACGAUCCAUAGCUGGUCUGAGAGGAUGAUCAGCCACACUGGGACUGAGACACGGCCCAGACUCCUACGGGAGGCAGCAGUGGGGAAUAUUGGACAAUGGGCGAAAGCCUGAUCCAGCAAUGCCGCGUGAGUGAUGAAGGCCUUAGGGUUGUAAAGCUCUUUUACCAGGGAUGAUAAUGACAGUACCUGGAGAAUAAGCUCCGGCUAACUCCGUG
This 460-nucleotide ribosomal RNA is filed under the name uncultured bacterium. RNAcentral describes it as "bacterial SSU rRNA". It matches the Rfam family "Bacterial small subunit ribosomal RNA", at positions 1 to 507 of the family's 1533-position model. The record is from RNAcentral.